GUGAGUCUGCCCGGCGUGGCUGCCCGGCUCCCUUCCCUGGGGCGGGGCGGGCGGCGCGGCAGGUGGGUGCCCAGGCCCCGGAGGCCGAGGGGGUGCUGGGCGGCUGCCUGGAGGGUGGGUGGGAGCCGGAGCGGACCGGGGGCGACUCUCCGGGGACCCGGCGCGACUUGUCUGGGCUGCGAUCGCCGCGGCUUCCGCCACCCCGGCGGUCCCCACCCCAGCCCCUUCCCCAGAGGGGCGUGUGGGGCCGGGAGGUGGGACCCCCGGGGGCUAAGGCUGGGGCUUGGAAAUGAAAGAGGCGGUCGGAAAGCCAGCCACCCGCCCCCACCCCGGAGAGCCCGUUCGGGAAACUGACUCGCUGCGUGACCCCGAUAUCAACGCGGUGGGGGAGCAGGCUGGCCCGCUCGCGCCUCGGGGAUCCGGGGCCCGGGGCCUCGGAAGGAGCGGGGAGGAUGUCCCCCGAGAGUCACCGCCGUCCCCACAGAAAGUUAGGGGGCCCCUCCCUGGAGGAGCAGGCGGCUCUGGCACGUUGCCUUUAGCCUUGAUGGACAGGAGUGAAAUAAGUAAAACCUGGGCUCCAGGGUGCUGACCGGGGUACCCGGGCCAGAGACACCACGUUAGCGGAAGAAAAAGUUAGAUAAAGGAAAAAAUAAAAGGCAUUUUGAUUUGGGGGUGGGGGGAGUGGCGUUUCGGAUUUCUCCUGCUUCCAACCCCGUCGAGGGGAGCGCUGGAAUGUGGCGUUCAGAUCCUCUGAGGACACAUCCAUAUUUAUAAUUUAUUUUUAGGAGAAGUUGUGACUAGGGGAGGAGGGUUACACUGGGGAAAAAAGGUGUGCUCGAAAGGCGGCCUUUCCCGAGCCCCGGGGCUAAUUGGACCCUUAGGGUGGGAACAGGCCUCCCUAUCGGGACAGCAGCAAAUUUGACUUUAAUGGGUGACAAUUAAGGGCAUAAAUAACUAAACUUUCUUUAGCUGGAGGGGGAGCCUUACAGGCGCCUCUGACGCUCCAUUGAUGCUUUGCUGGGGGACUUUGGGGGAACUCCUGGUAUUUUCUGGGGUUUUGCGCCUGAGUGUUAGCAGGGAGCAAGCGGUGACUGCUCCCCGAGGGAGGUGACGGUCCCACGGGUGGACAAAUGCGCCCUUCCUCCCACAGCGACACCUUGGCUUUCUGGGAGAUGAACCGCCUUCCUGAGGGAAAAAGCCAGGAACGAUUCCUUUAACGAUCUAGGAUUCUCCCAGUCCUGCCUCCCAGGCAGCUCGCUCCCGAGCACGGAGCUGUGAGGGGACUCACUUCGGGAGGAAGAAGGCUCCGGAGGCUGUGGGCCCAGAAUCGGGGUUUUGAGGGCGAGAUGAGUUUAUGUUUUAUCCAACUGGCCCACAAAGUCCCGCUUUUGGGGUCAUUCUUAACAGCGAGGGAUUCAGGCCCUGGCAGCCCCUGAAGAGUGAGGGUGGGGCGCGGAUCGCCCAGGCUGCUCCUCUAAAACCGGCUGGGGAAAGGGAGCCCUUGCUACUUCCGAAAAAGUGAGGCCCAACGUGGGGUGAGGGUGGGAUGCUCUUACAAUGCGUGUGUUCUCCGUGUGCUUGAACCUGCUGUGAUUUCAAGGCCUCUCCUUGGGAGGCCAGAAAGAUCCACCGCCCUCACCCCAGGGGCUUAAGGAGGUGUAGUAGUGACAGAAUUGGCAGGCUGUAUCAAAGUGUUUGAAAUUCCCUAAAUAAAGUACCACUAGCAUCAUAAAUCCUAAUGCCAUCAGAUUUCUCUUUACGUUUGUCAAAGGAGCAGCCUGCCGUUUCAGAACUGCAGUACUGUCUCUUUGCAAUUCGUUACUACCUCGAUAUUGAAGGCAUUUAAUAAGAAAGACUAGAUAAUAUGUCCAGGGGAGUCUCUAAGGUGGUACCAAUGCCCCUCUCAGGGGCAUUAAGCUUACUAAGAUAUAUUAAUUCAUACCCACACACCUGUCCUCCUGUCCAAACCUAUAUAGAUGUCCACACCCCCUAAGUUAUUUCCAAACCUGGAUUUAAAUUAAGUGUUCACAGCAGGGAACAUAAAACUGAGCUGUACCCGAGAAACUUUUGAACACAGAGUUCUUGAUAAAAGAUCUAGUGAUUUGAUAGACUUGGCACAUGGACACACAGAUGACAUUUGUGCUGCCUUGGCAAAAUGUUCUUUACUUUCAGAGUCCUUUCUCUUUACUACAGGACACAAUAAACAGCACAAUUUCCAGGAGUCCGCAGUUCCAACGUGGCUUGUCCGUGGGAACUUGUCACAUUGAGAACUGUGUUUGUGCUUUGCUGAAUUGCCACCCCGAGCUGUCAGAUCCUAUUUGCUUUGCUAAAUAAGGAUAUCUUACUAAAUUAGCCUUUAAUGAUACCUCUACACAUAGGGUGUUUUACGUGAAUUAACAAGGCCGGAACACUGCAUGUUAUGCCAAGAUACUGAGCUAUAAUCGAGGCGGUGAAGCUGAAUGUUAAAAUUACUGACUUGUUAAGUGUGGAAAAUCAGACAGAAUUUAGUUCUAAAUGUGAUACGAUUUCUGCUUUAAUGGUGAGCAUUCCCAAAACAUAGGCAUUGCUUAUAUUUGGCCCUCUGAAACCAUGCAUAUAAUUAUGAAUACAUUUAGCAAACUUUCCCCCUCUCCGAGUCUACAAAUAAGCAAAGUAAUGUGGUGAAGUGAUUAUAAAUCAGUACUUUGCAGUGAAAGGUCGCCAUUAAUUCAGCAAAGAACUGCAGCUCCUUUCCAUAUUCUUACCAUCCUCCUGCCCCCCUCCAACCGGUAAGAAAAAAAAAAUUGACGUGGAACUGCUGAAUACACGUUGGCUUUUCUCCUUUUGCUUCGGUGUGUGAAAUUUCAUUAAUCAUUUGCUAUUCCUCCCUCUAAGAGGUGUGGAUUUAGGGGAAGAAAUAGCAACUUUGAAAUUUAGUUCUUAGCAGUGUAUAACCCAUAAAGGAAAAAAAAUUUAAUAGAAAAGAAUAAAGUAUGGUUGGGGGUAAAAUAGUUAGAGAUGCAAUGAAAAUGACACUUUGUUCGAAAUCAAACAUGCAUUUGUGACUAAAACCAAUGAAAGUUGGAAAAAUCCCCACCUGGGAAUUCCCUCUAUGUCUUGCUCAUUAGCAUUCCCACCCUAACAUUGAGAACCAGGAAAAGAUUCUUGCCAGAUAAACUUAGAGCUCCCUAAGGUGGGCAGCUCACCCUUCUCUAAUUUGGACUGCAGAGUAAAUACCACUAUUUUAGGCAUGAGGAUAAAAAUUAGUCUGGCGAACAGUGAAGGCAAACUCUGUACUUAAGAGUCACUUACCAGAAAAUAAGUGCAUAUACCAACAAAAUAAAACAUUAUUGACCAGUGUUACUUUACCACAGAAUUUUCUUUCAUGUUUGCCAUCCUGAAUGCAGGAAAAUAUGGUCCUUUUUGCUUCUUAGAUUUAGAAUAAGAUGAGAAUAAACCCGGAACAACAACCCUGACACCCACAAAGUUGAUGUAAAGAAUCAUAGACUUUUCAGGCCCAGCAGUCAUGAACCUAUCCAGGGAGAGGUGGACAUUAAAGAAACAGUGUCUGGGCCGGGGAUUUAGCUCAGUGGUUCUGCUGCCUGCCUCGCAAGCGCAAGGACCUGAGUUCGAUCCCCCGUACCAAAAAAAAAAAAAAAAAAAGAAAAGAAAAAGAAACAGUGUCUAAGGAGUAGACCUUGGGGUUCUUCCAUCACCCCAUGCUAGGCUGAGCCCCCAGCUCCCUUCGUGGUCUCUUUCCAAAGUAGCUAGCCUUCAGAUGCUGCCUUCUCAGCGGGCCCAGUUGCAGGGGACAUAUGCAAAUAUUUACAAAGCUUUCAAAUAAAGGUUCUGGUUUUCCUGUCUUCUUUAUAGAAAACAUCUAAAUUUACAGAACAUAAAGCAAACUUUUCCCCAUUGUCUCUGAAUGCUGGCACUCUAGAAAAUGCAAACGUCUUGGUGUCACAAGAGAGCCGUUUGAAAAUGCUCUGGCAAGAGGGGUGUGUGUGUGGCACAUGUAAGCGUUUCUUGGAGAUGGGGACUGGGCAGGGGGAGGAGUCAGCGGCUGGUCGGAGCCUGAAGUUAGUUGAACCUCAUGGGGUGAAAAUUUUCUGAGAAGAGCAGCAAACUCGACUGUCCUGUUGGAAUUGGACAUGAAAUCAGUGCCCAGGCCUCUGUCAUCUGUGCCCAAACCAGCCUGGACCGCUGCCAGCUGAGGCCCAGACAUGGCCGAAUGUAGCCACUGCUGGAGCCCAAACAUGCUCCAGACAGUUGCCUGGGGGGAUCUCCUCCUGGGACCCAGGCGGCAGCAGUUCAGCCAGAGGUGGGGUGUUUGGCUCCCAGGGCAGCCUCCCCAGACACUCUUCGGGGCUCAGUAGCUUGUGGGUGCUGGGGCCCAGAGGGCAGUACCUCACUUUGUUCAGAGGUAAACAGGUGACGUUGUCCCUGUCCCACAAGCUCGGAGCAAAUCCAGCCUGUGUGAGACCACAGUGACUGGAAAAGAGUCCAGUGCAGGUUUGUUCCUGUAGCCAUUGCUGGUCUUUUCUCCAGGCACGAGGAGUAUCCUGUCCCCUAUCCAGGGACUCUACUCCCUUUUCUUUUCUUUUUCUUUUUUUUUUUUUUGCAGUAGCAGGGAUUGAACUCAGGACUUGCACUUGCGAGACAGGCGCAGCUAAAUCCCAGGCCCCUAAGGGAGCCUACUGCUUCCACAGGGUGGGAGGCAAACUGGGCUGAGGGGCAGAGGUGUAGCCUAGAUGUGGAGAGGAGGCUUUGGAAGGCUAUCAGAGGACAGGAGGUGGGGGGCAAGUACGCAGAGAAAGAGGCGGACAUCUGAGCCAGCUUCAGGGUCAGCCAGGCCAGGGGCUGAGUGGGCAUGCUGGGCUGAAGCCUUCAGGAAAGAGGUGUGCAGCCUGCUGAGCCCUGGCAUCUAGGGUGCCCACUCCGCGAAGCCGGGCCCAGGCCUGAGUCAGCCAAACCCUGGGACUCCCAUUUGGCCCCAGUAACUGGAUUCCAGGCCACCAAAGGCCUUGUGGGUUCCUGAUUGUGUCUCGGGAUGGCAUUAUAAGGCCUUGAUGGAGAGCUCAUGGGCUGUGCCAUAUUUAGCUACAGGUUCACCCAGAGAAUAUUUUGGGUGCUGCUUGAAAGGGGAGCUCUGAGCCCUGUUGCUGACUGUCACAAGGCAGGGGUGGGAUCGCUUCCUCGCAGGCCUGGCCCAGAAGCUUAGAGACUCUGCCAAGGCUUUGGGACCAUGCAGUGGGUUCUAGGGAGCCAGGAAGUGCCCUGGGAGCCAGUUCUGGGCUGGGAACAUGUUGGGAAGGCUUUUCGCCCUGUUUUCGUUGAGCAGCGAUAAGGCCACUUCCAUUCAUAGAACUCACAGAGGCCAUUUUCAGCCUCUGUCUUCUCCAAGAUGGCCCAGUGUGAUAUGCCAGGCUGCUGAGUGAGUGGCCUCCUCCUCAGGUGUCAGCCACGGGGGCAGGGUUAACCCUUUCAAGGCCCUCGGUGUGGGCUGGCACAGGGGCAGCCUUCUGCACAGACGGCCACGGUCCUGUGUGCUUGUUUCCCUUAAUCCUCAGACCCUAGUGGCAGACCCAAGAGGGAACCUUAGCAGUGAUGCCACCCCAUUGGUGAUAACCACUUGGCUCUCCUACCCAAGCCUUCUACCUGCUGGUCAUCCAGCUGUGGAAACAGCUGCUUACCUUCCAGAUGUUUUCGUCUGGGUCUCAAAGUUAACUGACUUUCCCCUAAUGCAGAGGAGGGGGCAUUAAUAGCUAGGCUUUCGCUUUGAUCAUCGGGAAGGGCUGGAAUAACCGUUUGGGGUUUGGGGCAAAUGUUGCAGGCUCCUCGGGGUCACUGGCCUUAGGGAAUAAUCUGUGUGACCAUUUCUGGACCCUGGUCUGGGUUCCUGGAGGGAGGGGCGCGUCUGUAUGGAAGCUAUGGCUUGGAGACAUCUUUAGCCCAUUAUUCUGAGGACAGCGAGGUUCCUUCCAGGAGCCUAUGCGAGCUGACACACACCCUGAAAGCAUCCACUUGUUUAAAGUUUGCUCUAACUUUGUACAUUUUUUCCCUUUUAGUUUGGCUCUUGGUGCUCCAAGAGCCCCCACUUCCUGCCAGCUGGUUACCGCAGGGAAAAUGAGGGACUUUUGGGGGCAGAUGUGUUUCCGUUCCACUAUCAUAAUGCCCCUAAAAAUCCUUAUUGCUCUUGCAGUAUUCCUCGGGGUCCCCGGGCCAGGAAGACGGCGGCUCUGGGCUCCUCCAGCAACACAGAGAGGAGAGCGAGGUGUCCCCAGAUGGGCAUCCCUCCCACAGUCCCUCUGCUUCCCUGGAAGAUCUGUCCGCACCAUGCUCAGAACCAGUCACCCUCCCCUAAAAGAGAGGAUUUCAUUUACAAACAUGAACGCUGGUUACUAAACUCGCUUUUUGCCCUCCAGGCUCAGAUCGGUGGAGCUCAGGCCUGGGAAGAAGAGGCCACUGAGACACAUGGGGAAACCACAGUCCAGCAGUAUGCCUGGGUUUCUGGAAGCAGCCAUGCUUAUGAUCCAGCCUACGAUCUGUGACUCUUGCUGUGUUGCCCCAGGGAUGUGACUCAACCUCUCUGGGCCUCCAGUGCCUCGUGCAUGACACCCACAGCUUGGAUGAGAAGUUUCCCAAAUCUCUUAUGCACAUCUGCUCUAUGACUUUCAGAGGUACCUGGCUGAAGAUAAAAAUUUCUUAAAUAGGUGUUUCUUUGCAUGGCUGAUUUCUAUUUAUGGCAAUAGGUUGGUGUUCCCUAUAGGGGGGAUAUGUCUCCUUUUCUGUCGAAAUCAAUUUAUGUGGGUAAGAAAUGAGUCUCCUUCUUGAAAGAGAAAUGCAAAGCAAAUUAUGGCAGGUGGCCUGAGGAUGGGACCAAAAUCGAGACAACAGUUUGUAAAGUUUCAUGGGCCCACUUUUUAGAAAGAGUUCGUGUUUCUCUUAGGGGUUUUCUGUACCCUUAGUUGAUGGUGGGGGGAGUAAGUUGCCAGUUAAACCCAUGCUGUGUCCUGUGUUGUCCUUGGGGUCCCAACACCAGAGGCCCUCCCCAACUCCCCCCAUCCGUAGACCCCAUUUACCUCCACCCUGGGGUCACAGUGACCCAGUGCUCUCCUUCCCCGAUGGCUCACCUCUCUGAGCCUGUUUGCUCAGGGAAAUGGGGAGAAGAAACGCCCUGUGAAUGAGAUCAGGGGGUUGGGGAGCCUCACCACGAAGCAGGGAGAGUUCUGGAACAGGGCACCGGCUCAGGGGGCAGCAGGUGCCAGGGGCCCUGGAGCAGGUGGGGCAUGGCGGGGGCGCCCUUGUCCAGCGGGCCGUGCAGUGCUGGG
Molecule: long non-coding RNA, 7310 nt
Filed under: Heterocephalus glaber (naked mole-rat)
Lineage: Eukaryota; Metazoa; Chordata; Mammalia; Rodentia; Bathyergidae
Description: lncRNA (ENSHGLG00000032763.1)
Rfam family: mir-365 microRNA precursor family (bases 6095-6180)
Source: RNAcentral